RNAcentral lists this ribosomal RNA (507 nucleotides) under uncultured Glomeraceae. Its description in RNAcentral is "SSU rRNA". It matches the Rfam family "Eukaryotic small subunit ribosomal RNA", at positions 569 to 1078 of the family's 1831-position model. Lineage: Eukaryota; Fungi; Glomeromycota; Glomeromycetes; Glomerales; Glomeraceae. The record is from RNAcentral.
AGCAGCCGCGGUAAUUCCAGCUCCAAUAGCGUAUAUUAAAGUUGUUGCAGUUAAAAAGCUCGUAGUUGAAUUUCGGGGUCAGUAGGUUGGUCGUGCCACCGGUACGUACUGGUCUCACUGAUUCCUCCUUCCUGAUAAGCUGUAAUGCCAUUAAUUUGGUGUUGCAGGGAAUCUGGACUGUUACUUUGAAAAAUUAGAGUGUUUAAAGCAGGCUAACGCUUGAAUACAUUAGCAUGGAAUAAUGAAAUAGGACGUUCGAUCCUAUUUUGUUGGUUUCUAGGAUUGACGUAAUGAUUAAUAGGGAUAGUUGGGGGCAUUAGUAUUCAAUUGUCAGAGGUGAAAUUCUUGGAUUUAUUGAAGACUAACUACUGCGAAAGCAUUUGCCAAGGAUGUUUUCAUUAAUCAAGAACGAAAGUUAGGGGAUCGAAGACGAUCAGAUACCGUCGUAGUCUUAACCAUAAACUAUGCCGACUAAGGAUCGGAUGAUGUUAAUUUUUAAUGUACUCA